AUUGAACGCUGGCGGCAGGCCUAACACAUGCAAGUCGAGCGGAUGAAGGGAGCUUGCUCCUGGAUUCAGCGGCGGACGGGUGAGUAAUGCCUAGGAAUCUGCCUGGUAGUGGGGGAUAACGUCCGGAAACGGGCGCUAAUACCGCAUACGUCCUGAGGGAGAAAGUGGGGGAUCUUCGGACCUCACGCUAUCAGAUGAGCCUAGGUCGGAGUAGCUAGUUGGUGGGGUAAAGGCCUACCGAGGCGACGAUCCGUAACUGGUCUGAGAGGAUGAUCAGUCACACUGGAACUGAGACACGGUCCAGACUCCUACGGGAGGCAGCAGUGUGGAAUAUUGGACAAUGGGCGAAAGCCUGAUCCAGCCAUGCCGCGUGUGUGAAGAAGGUCUUCGGAUUGUAAAGCACUUUAAGUUGGGAGGAAGGGCAGUAAGUUAAUACCUUGCUGUUUUGACGUUACCAACAGAAUAAGCACCGGCUAACUUCGUG
This 484-nucleotide ribosomal RNA is filed under the name uncultured bacterium. RNAcentral's name for it is "partial 16S ribosomal RNA". It matches the Rfam family "Bacterial small subunit ribosomal RNA", at positions 30 to 507 of the family's 1533-position model. The record is from RNAcentral.